UGCCCCUGGUAAUAGGCAAAGAGACACCUUGUUGGUGGUGUUCUUUUAUAUAUAUAGAGAGAGGCACAAAGUCGAUAGCAGUCCUUUGUUCAUCCCAACUUAGUACUUGGCUUGGUGUCCAAAGCUGUUUUAUGCCUAGAGCACAUAA
Phodopus roborovskii (desert hamster) is the source of this 148-nucleotide small nucleolar RNA. RefSeq annotates it as small nucleolar RNA SNORA48. The record is from RefSeq and is a predicted model, not a curated record. NCBI's taxonomy places the organism in Eukaryota, Metazoa, Chordata, Mammalia, Rodentia, Cricetidae. The transcript has a single exon.